This 479-nucleotide ribosomal RNA is filed under the name uncultured bacterium. RNAcentral's name for it is "bacterial SSU rRNA". It matches the Rfam family "Bacterial small subunit ribosomal RNA", at positions 28 to 535 of the family's 1533-position model. The record is from RNAcentral.
GAUGAACGCUGGCGGAGUGCCUAACACAUGCAAGUCGAGCGGCAGCGCGAGUAGUUUACUACUUGGCGGCGAGCGGCGGACGGCUGAGUAACGCGUGGGAACAUGCCCCAAAGUGAGGAAUAACUGCCCGAAAGGGUAGCUAAUACCGCAUAUGAUCUUCGGAUUAAAGGAUUUAUCCGCUUUGGGAGUGGCCUGCGUACGAUUAGAUAGUUGGUGAGGUAAUGGCUCACCAAGUCGACGAUCGUUAACUGGUUUGAGAGGAUGAUCAGUCAGACUGGAACUGAGACACGGUCCAGACUCCUACGGGAGGCAGCAGUGAGGAAUCUUCCACAAUGGGCGAAAGCCUGACGGAGCAACUCCGCGUGCAGGAUGAAGGCCUUCGGUUGUAACUAGCUUUAUGAGUGAAGAAUAUAGACGGUAACUACAUGAAUAAGGUACGGCGUAACUACGUGCCAGCAGCCGCGGUAAAUAGACGUACU